GGUAGUGUGGCUGAGUGGUUCAAGGCACUUGAUUUCAGCUCCAGUCCCUUUAGAGGCAUGGGUUCAAAUCCCAUCCCUACCA
Molecule: non-coding RNA, 82 nt
Organism: Sphaeramia orbicularis (orbiculate cardinalfish)
Lineage: Eukaryota; Metazoa; Chordata; Actinopteri; Kurtiformes; Apogonidae
Source: the annotation of a RefSeq genome assembly